AUGCUCAGGAAUGAUGGGAAAACAGUGACUGUGUUUGAGCAGACGGCGAUCUGUGUCUGUUUACCUUUGGUGUGGUGUCUUCCAUUUGGGCCUGCCGGGUCACUGCCAAGCCUCAGGCCCAUGCAGGGCCUCAGCUCUGAGUGGAGGAGGCCAGUGUGUCUGGCAUACCUUUUAGCCAAAGAAGAUGGAGCUACGGCCGAUGCUCACCAGGAAUCUGCUCACCCAGAGAUGCUGGACCCUGCACAUCCUAGGAUGCUUCUUAGCAGAUGGCUCCAGAGGGCAAAGGUUUUGCAGAAGAAUCAAAUCCUGAGUGAACAGAUACUGUGGCCUGUGAAACCAAAGAGAGAUGCUGAACGUUUCAAGUCAUUUGGUGUCCGUGGACCAAACCCUGUGGAGGAACAGCCUUGUGGAGUGGAGGUGACCCCGGCUCACUCAGCCAGGCUGGCGUUGGCUUCCACUGCGCUUCAAACCCUGUGUUUACUCUGAAGUCCCACAUUUGCUUUGCAACAGCCUGAUCAUCAAAGCAGACAAAAACACAUCUGGCUGCAAAUCUCCAAACUGAUGUUUCCAAAUUUUCUCCCACUCCUCUGACUUGGAAUCACAAAAAAUUAAAAUUGUGCUUUUCCUGAAGGUUCACAAGCUGAAGCUAGUCUACCUAAUAAGUAGACUCCAGAAGAAUCACUGUGAUGGUUUGUAUAUUGACAACCUUUAUGAUAUUUAAACUGCAAACCAGGAUAAUCUGUCAGAUUGUUACUGCAUACCCUGCUCCAACUAAAGAUGCCCAGACCAGAUUUAAAAAUAUUCUCAGCUGAGGGCCCUCCAGUUGCAGACUAGAUUAUAUACUGCUCCCUAGAAAAGUCUCUUAUUAAAUAACCUGUAUGUUUGCACCAUAUCAAGACCUAGCCUUGAUGGAAGUCCUACUAUCUCCUCAAAUAGUUACAAUUGUUUAAUUGGAUAGGCCAGGAAUGGGAGAUGGGUUUAAUGGUAUCCUUUGCCACUUAGCUUCUAACUGAAAUUCUGUCUCUCCAGCCACCAAUUCAGCUUUUAGUAUGUGUGUGAAGCUUCUAGGGAAGUUUCAGACCAGGGAAUGGCAGAGCACAGAGACUGAUA
RNAcentral lists this long non-coding RNA (1110 nucleotides) under Callithrix jacchus (white-tufted-ear marmoset). RNAcentral's name for it is "lncRNA (ENSCJAG00000083680.1)". The record is from RNAcentral. Lineage: Eukaryota; Metazoa; Chordata; Mammalia; Primates; Cebidae.